GCUUGUCUCAAAGAUUAAGCCAUGCAUGUCUAAGUAUAAGCACCCUUAUACUGCGAAACUGCGUACAGCUCAUUAUAUCAGCAAUUAUUUAUUUGAAGGUCACCUAUUACAUGGAUAACUGUGGUAAUUCUAGAGCUAAUACAUGCACCCAUGCCCGACUUUGUGGAAGGGUUGUGUUUAUUAGUUACAGAACCAACCCAGGCUCUGCCUGGUCUUGUGGUGAUUCAUAAUAACCGAACGAAUCGUAUGGCAUCAGCUGGCGAUGAAUCAUUCAAGUUUCUGACCUAUCAGCUUCCGACGGUAGGGUAUUGGCCUACCGUGGCAAUGACGGGUAACGGAGAAUUAGGGUUCGAUUCCGGAGAGGGAGCCUGAGAAACGGCUACCACAUCUAAGGAAGGCAGCAGG
This 405-nucleotide ribosomal RNA is filed under the name Azadinium dalianense. Its description in RNAcentral is "partial small subunit ribosomal RNA". It matches the Rfam family "Eukaryotic small subunit ribosomal RNA", at positions 30 to 432 of the family's 1831-position model. Lineage: Eukaryota; Dinophyceae; Gonyaulacales; Amphidomataceae. The record is from RNAcentral.